UGGGGAAUUUUGGACAAUGGGCGCAAGCCUGAUCCAGCCAUGCCGCGUGAGUGAAGAAGGCCUUCGGGUUGUAAAGCUCUUUCAGACGGAAAGAAAUCUCUUGGGCGAAUACCCUGGGAGGAUGACGGUACCGUAAGAAGAAGCACCGGCUAACUACGUGCCAGCAGCCGCGGUAAUACGUAGGGUGCGAGCGUUAAUCGGAAUUACUGGGCGUAAAGCGUGCGCAGGCGGUGAUGUAAGACAGAUGUGAAAUCCCCGGGCUCAACCUGGGAACUGCGUUUGUGACUGCAUCACUCGAGUACGGCAGAGGGAGGUGGAAUUCCGCGUGUAGCAGUGAAAUGCGUAGAUAUGCGGAGGAACACCGAUGGCGAAGGCAGCCUCCUGGGCCAGUACUGACGCUCAUGCACGAAAGCGUGGGGAGCAAACA
Molecule: ribosomal RNA, 427 nt
Filed under: uncultured bacterium
Lineage: Bacteria
Description: bacterial SSU rRNA
Rfam family: Bacterial small subunit ribosomal RNA
Source: RNAcentral